UGAACACUUUUGCCACAGUGCCAGCGCAAAUUGGACUACUCCAGCUUGAAAUUCUGCUGGAAUAAGGUGAUAAAUUUUUAGCUUUGGAAUUCCUCAGGGAUAAGCCAAUUUCUGUGUGGAAUUCUUUAGGGGUAAUGGAUAUUUUGAAUGAGAUUUUCUCAGGGGUCAAAUGUAAAAAUUGAAAUUCUUCCAGGGUCUCUCUUCAUGGGUAUUAACAGACAGGGUUUAUUUUAACAUGCAGAUCUACACAAAAUGUGCAGUUCUAAACCCAUUUGUGCAGUUCUUAAAACACAAAUGUGCAGUCACCAAACUAACAAAAAUAGCCUUAAUUAAAACAGUCUCCUCAUUUACUCGUUAAUACCUGGCCUUGUGGAUGCUCCAGAAAAUUCCAGAAAUGCUGUCAUUAAUUGAGCAUCAAAAAUAUAAACGAUUUCUGGGGGAGGACUCCAGACCCUCCUCUUUACCUAAAACACUUACGUGCUGGGGUAAUGGAAAAGAAGGUAAAAUUGGGGCGAGUGAAGCUCCCCAAAAGAUAUUUGAGUG
This is a non-coding RNA of Paramuricea clavata, 543 nucleotides long. NCBI's taxonomy places the organism in Eukaryota, Metazoa, Cnidaria, Anthozoa, Malacalcyonacea, Plexauridae. The record is from the annotation of a GenBank genome assembly.